AUUCCAUGAGAAUAAAAUAAACCUUUUCCAAGAUGUGUUUGCAGAGGGUUUGGUGGGCUGAACUUUGGCUCAUUGUGCUCUGGAUACUCUGCCCGCUUAGAGCUCCAUUUACAGGUGCCAGUGAAGCAGUGAGAUGUGAGAGAGUUCCUGCAGCAGCCUUAGGUGAAGAUGUGACCCUGAAAUGUAACUUUAUACCCUCUUUCGAUGUUUUACAAGUCACCUGGCAGAAGUUGGAAGGCUCUUCAUUCAAAAACAUAGCUACCUACAGCAAGGCACAUGGAACUAAAUCCAUAGGGCCUUUCAAUAAGAGAGUUUCUUUCAAUGAUACAAGUCUGAAAGCAUCAUCCAUCACUUUUCGUGGUGUGAUAUUGGAGGUUGAAACCUGUUAUAAGUGCAUCUUCAACGCAUUUCCACAUGGCUCCUUCAGCAGAGAAACUUGCCUCAUUGUACAUUCAAUUUCUCCAGUAAGAACUGAACUCCAUUCAAACACUAGCACCCCAGGGGUCCUGACUGCAGUCUGCUCAGCUACAGCAAAACCUGCCCCAGAAAUCACAUGGAAGCCUGAGGGCAUCCUGAUUGGCCAGCCUCAGAUACAUGGAGUUAAGAAUGCAAAUGGCACAGUAACCGUGACAAGCACAUGCAUCGUCUCUGUGAGGCUCCUGAGAUCGAAGAACUUCCAGGCUUUGACUUGUGUAAUAAAUCACCCUAUGGGAAGGAAAGAGGAGAUAAUUGACCCACUAGAAGAAUAUGAAGACCAAUGAGUAGCAGUACACCCUGCACUCGUGCAGAGAAAAAGAAUUUGAACCAAGAUGGAGGAGACAGACACCAGCACCAGUCAACACCUGAGAGCCACCAGAGUGUUUCCUAUCAAAAUGAGUGGCAAACCCCUGGAAGUUUUCAGCGCAAGAGAACCCCAUUUUCAAAAUCAAAGGAGAGUCAAAGAAAAACACUGGUACCCAGAGCAAUGUUUCCAGAAGAAAAAGAAGAGAAUGAGGAAGGCAAUCUGAAUCAUUCAUUUGUGGAAGGGAUUGAAGAGAUUGAUGACUCAGUUUUUAAAAAUUAGAGAGAAGGUAAACUUUCACUGCUGCAAAUGAAAAAAAGCAGAGAAACCAACAUCACUAACUCAGCAUUCAAACCAGUCCCAAAGAAGAAUUUUUUCAAAGCAUUUUGCAGUAGCUUGGAGAGAGGAGCGAUUUAUAACAUGACUUUGACACAAAAAGAGCUUAAAAAGGUGGGAGGGGAAAGAGAUGGUGGCUUAAUUUCCCCCUCCCCUCCAUUUAUGGUAUGUAAAAGGUAUGUGUCUCUUUCAGAGAGUCCAUUUGACGUGAGACUUUGAGACAGAAAAUGUGCAGGUGAACAAAACAAGGUCACAUGCCUUUACUUCUCACCAACCACCCCCUUCCCCACCCAAGGAAUAGCUGCAGCUAGAGCUGUGUGAAUAAUGGAUUUCUCGGUUUGCUAGCAAUUCCAAAAAAUUGAAAAAACAAUUAUUUGAGCUGAACUGACAAUUUUUCAGCAAAGCUAAGUUAUGUUUCAUUUUUGGUUCUAACGAAAUAUUUUGGCUGAGCACUUCAACAUUUAAUUUUUUAAAUCACAUUUAAAGUAAAUUUUGAAACAAGAAGUUUUUUCAAAUGGAGACAUCAGAAUAUUUCAGUUUUCAGAAACCAUUUUUUAACUUUUUUUCUCCAG
Molecule: RNA transcript, 1689 nt
Organism: Gopherus evgoodei (Goodes thornscrub tortoise)
Lineage: Eukaryota; Metazoa; Chordata; Testudines; Testudinidae
Gene name: OX-2 membrane glycoprotein-like
Exons: 5
Source: RefSeq, a predicted model, not a curated record